RNAcentral lists this ribosomal RNA (429 nucleotides) under Pseudomonadota bacterium. RNAcentral's name for it is "Proteobacteria bacterium partial 16S ribosomal RNA". It matches the Rfam family "Bacterial small subunit ribosomal RNA", at positions 355 to 776 of the family's 1533-position model. Lineage: Bacteria; Pseudomonadati; Pseudomonadota. The record is from RNAcentral.
UGGGGAAUAUUGGACAAUGGGCGAAAGCCUGAUCCAGCCAUGCCGCGUGUGUGAAGAAGGUCUUCGGAUUGUAAAGCACUUUAAGUUGGGAGGAAGGGCAGUAAGCGAAUACCUUGCUGUUUUGACGUUACCGACAGAAUAAGCACCGGCUAACUCUGUGUCAGCAGCCGCGGUAAUACAGAGGGUGCAAGCGUUAAUCGGAAUUACUGGGCGUAAAGCGCGCGUAGGUGGUUCGUUAAGUUGAAUGUGAAAGCCCCGGGCUCAACCUGGGAACUGCAUCCAAAACUGGCGAGCUAGAGUAGGGCAGAGGGUGGUGGAAUUUCCUGUGUAGCGGUGAAAUGCGUAGAUAUAGGAAGGAACACCAGCGGCGAAGGCGACCACCUGGGCUCAUACUGACACUGAGGUGCGAAAGCGUGGGGAGCAAACAGG